RNAcentral lists this RNase P RNA (324 nucleotides) under chicken gut metagenome. RNAcentral's name for it is "Bacterial RNase P class A". It matches the Rfam family "Bacterial RNase P class A". From Rfam's summary of the family: Ribonuclease P (RNase P) is a ubiquitous endoribonuclease, found in archaea, bacteria and eukarya as well as chloroplasts and mitochondria. Its best characterised activity is the generation of mature 5'-ends of tRNAs by cleaving the 5'-leader elements of precursor-tRNAs. The record is from RNAcentral.
AGAUGACCGGACGGUUGCGACGGGCGCAAGUCCGGCGAGGAAAGUCCGAACACCACAGGACAGGAUGCCGGCUAACUACCGGUGGAGGCGACUCCAAGGAAAGUGCAACAGAAAUAAACCGCCGAGACAUCGGCAAGGGUGGAAAGGUGAGGUAAGAGCUCACACGGCCGCGCGGUAACGCGGGGCGCUAUGUAAACCCCAUCCGGUGCAAGAUCGAGGGGGCACAGAUCGUCCGUCUUCCCCUCCACAUCGCUCGAACCGUACGGUAACGUACGGUCCAGACAGAUAACCGUCCCAGACAGAAUUCGGCUUACAGGUCAUUCU